Molecule: transfer RNA, 67 nt
Filed under: Listeria monocytogenes
Lineage: Bacteria; Bacillati; Bacillota; Bacilli; Caryophanales; Listeriaceae
Also listed under: 1 other name
Description: tRNA-Glu
Rfam family: tRNA
About the family: Transfer RNA (tRNA) molecules are approximately 80 nucleotides in length. Their secondary structure includes four short double-helical elements and three loops (D, anti-codon, and T loops).
Source: RNAcentral
CCCGUUGGUCAAGCGGUUAAGACACCGCCCUUUCACGGCGGUAACACGGGUUCGAAUCCCGUACGGG